This 284-nucleotide long non-coding RNA is filed under the name Mus spicilegus (steppe mouse). RNAcentral's name for it is "lncRNA (ENSMSIG00000013938.1)". The record is from RNAcentral. Lineage: Eukaryota; Metazoa; Chordata; Mammalia; Rodentia; Muridae.
AUCCCUGGCUCUUCCAGGGAGGGCCUCUUCUGAUUCUCAUAGAGGGUUCAUGUUCAUCAUACUGCAUUUGACUUCCAGGAUGUUCACAUGCUCUCUCUGUCACAGUGAUCUCAACAAGACUCUACAGACACAUGAGUUAGCCCUCCUUUCAGGUGAACCCUGCUUGCCCAUAAGCCGUUGGACUGCUACAGAUGGCCUCAGGAAAAAAAAUAGGGACCUUGGCGAGGGGUGGGGUGGGGGAACAACUGGACUCACUGAGAAACACUGCUUUGGUUGGAGCACUU